CAUUUAUGACAGACUCUCAUUCUGUAUUAGGCAUUAAUGUGAAUAUUACAUCAGUCCCACAAGAAUGGCACCAGUAAACAUUCAUCUGAAAAGAGGAUUCAUCACAACUGAUAUCAUUUUGGGGGUUGUUGGCACUGUUAUACUGGCCUUCACACUUUUCUCCCAUGGACAUGUCUCUAGAGAGGAGGAGGUGCAGCCAUAUGUGCCUGGAGUGACUAUUUUGUAUAUUAUUGGAGGGAUCACUUUUUUAAUGUCAGUUUUCGGACUAUUUGGAGCAAUGAAAGAGAAACCAUGGGCACUGAUAGUGUUUUCAGUGGGUAUGAUUCUGCUGAUCCUUCUACUCAUUGUGAUCUCAGGGAAUGCUAUAUAUGCAAAAGUAAAGUUUCCAGAGCAGCUUUUCAAUGACACAGUGUUGAGUGAUCAAACACCAGAAUUUCAAAAUAUGGUUGAGUCAUGGCAGACUUUGUUCCACUGCUGUGGCCUAAAUAGAGGUUACCAGGAGUGGGAGGGUCACAUUCCACAUUCCUGUCUAUGUGAGCAGCCAGAAGAGAGCUUGUCUCCAUGUAUUGAGGUUGAAUUGCUCAAUGGCACUACAAAAACAGACAUAAAAGUAUACAAAGAGCCAUGCCUUCCACAUAUUAUCUCAUCCAUGACUCUGGUGUUUGACGUGAUGCUGGUAAUCCUGCUUGGAUAUGCAGCAUUCCUGAUCAUUGCCACCGGAAUGGCCAUUGCAAUAGCAUGCCAGAAAAGAAGAACAUCAAUCACUCCACCAGUGAAAUUCAGCGCUGAGUCCAGUAACUCAAAGUAUACAGAGCUUUCUUACAACACAGACAAUGAUUAAAAUUCUCAUUUCUACUGAAAUCCAAGACAUCAGUAGAAAAGACCAAGAGAUGCAUUCUUCACCCCCAAAAAUCAGUUUACUUCAAACAAUAGUCCACCAUUUUCAUAAAACCAAAACUGAAAUGUGUAGUUUUAGGUGGUUCUUCAAUGUUUUCAGAAUAGAAAGAAGAACAUUGUUUAGACAAUACUACCCAUCAAGAUUGAAAUCUGGAACAAAUUCCAUGGUAAUCAUAGCAUUACACUACAAAAUCCACAGAGUAUAUUUUGUGAAAUUGUCAUCCUCUUAAAACCCAUAAAAAUUCCAAAGAUCCUGUGAGGCAAUACAGUUAUGACAAUAAUUAAGGGAAAGUAUCUUUGUACUGUUUAUUUUUUAGAGUUAAUAUCAACACCACUAGUCAUCAGGGAUGCUGAAGAUGAAGCAAUCCUAAUGUAAAUAUAGCAUUGCAGAUAUAUUAAAUCCUUUCACGAGACAAUAUCAAAUCAUUACAUUUGGAUGAAAUAAUGAACUGAUAUAUUGGUACCACUGUGUAAUUUCUGUUGUAAAUAAAUGUUUUGUUUUGGGGUUUUUUUUUUGUAAAAUGUGCUGUGUGGAUUCCUGUACUUUAUGUCACAACAAAAGGAAACAGUAAUGUACAGAGUUCAGAGUUGAUUUAUAUUGGAGGACAUAAUAAAUGUGAAACUGUGGCACAGUCCAACAAA
This is an RNA transcript of Chanos chanos (milkfish), 1539 nucleotides long. It is a transcript of the gene named tetraspanin-17, with no coding region annotated. The record is from RefSeq and is a predicted model, not a curated record. The transcript has 10 exons. Lineage: Eukaryota; Metazoa; Chordata; Actinopteri; Gonorynchiformes; Chanidae.